This 1485-nucleotide long non-coding RNA is filed under the name Lepidothrix coronata (blue-crowned manakin). Its description in RNAcentral is "lncRNA (ENSLCOG00000002918.1)". The record is from RNAcentral. Lineage: Eukaryota; Metazoa; Chordata; Aves; Passeriformes; Pipridae.
CGGGGCCGGAGCAGGCGGCUCCGGGGACACCGGUAGGAGAUUCCCUGCUCCCAGGGCAGGCAGGGGGGCUGCACCCCCAGGGCUCUUCGGCCACUGUAACGCCUCCCUCCUCUCUCUCAUCCAGCCCUUUCACUCUCCACCUCGCUGUCUCCUUGCCAGGCAUGGGAGUUUUUCCAGACUCUUCUCUGGGGCUGCAAAGCCCCGUGGUUUCCUUUGGGGUUCAGCACCCCGUGGGUCCUGUCCCAUAGCUCCUCUCCUGGGACAGACAUGUCCCAGCCUCACGCCAUUGCCUGUCCCCAGGAUGAGCCAGGAGCUGAGCAGACACCUCUGGGCAGCCAGGACCAGGAUCCCUGUGCUUUGGGAGCGGAGCCAAUCCCACUGGAGGAGAACUCUGCCAGGGCAGGGGAGCACCUCAAGGUAGAGCGGGGCAGUCCAGCUGUCCCCGAGGCUGGCACAGGUGAUGGGCCACAUCCCCACAGCCCAGCAGCCCCUCUGGAUCCCACUGAGAGGGAACAGCCGGCAUCCAGCGGCUCUGCAGAGGUGGGUGCUGAGCUGAGCCCACAUUCCCGGGGAGAGCAGCGUUUGCCAAGUGGAGCUGGAGAAGCUGAGGCAGAAGCUGCCCACGAUGGGGUGGGUCUCAGAGCAUGGGGCAGCUCUGUGGCGUGUCCCCCUCCCCAGCUUCUCGAGAGCCUUCAGCCACCUGAAAACUCUCAGGUCCCGCCAGGACCUGCAGCAGAAGCUGAUGCAGAGCCCAGCCAGGCUUGUCCUGAUCCCUGCACCUCACCAAGGACCUCACCGGAGCCCCAGCACUCUCCUGGCUCCAGUGAGACAAACCUGGCAGGGGAUGGACAGCAGCAGCUCUGCUUCAGGCUCCCGACACCCUCCCCAUCCCGCCUGGAUCUCCGCUCCGCCGCCGUCCUCGCCAGGAAGGCGGCCAUCGAGCUGUCGUACCAGCAGUUCAGCCUCAACUUCGCGGUGGUGGCCACGAUGCUGCUGCAGAAGGAGCCCUCCAUGGAGGCACCCCUGGGGCUGGCACUCAGGGCCAACCUGCGCCAGGGCUGGAUCCACCACGUGCAGGAGCUGGAGAAUUUCAUCGACAGCUACGACUCAGCCACCUCCAGCCCCUGAGGAGACACCCCCUCCUCCAGCCGGGCUGGGAGGGAUGGGGGGCUGUGCCAGGGCACUGCCGUGCUCAGGUGGUGCUGAGCCUGCGGGUCAGAGUGGCAUGGACAUGUUGGCAGUCCCACCAUAUCUCUUGGAGAGGGAGGAAGGUGGGGGUAUGCUUAGUUUUAACCCUGCCCAAACCUCUGUGUGCAGCCAAAGGAGGAGCUGGUGUUACUGGCUGGUGGUGGGAGGGAGAGAGAGCAGCAGCCCCUCUCCUCCAUCCAGGCUCCUCACUCCAUUCCUGGUUCCCCGGGAUGUGCCCACAAACCCCAGGAGUUGUUCUUGGUUUAAAAUCUAAAAAUAAACCCUGUUCUUGUUGCA